This 902-nucleotide unclassified non-coding RNA is filed under the name Hevea brasiliensis (rubber tree). The record is from RNAcentral. Lineage: Eukaryota; Viridiplantae; Streptophyta; Magnoliopsida; Malpighiales; Euphorbiaceae.
AAAAAAAAAAAAAAGGUUCUACUUAAUGGGUUACAUUAAGAGUUAUUAUUUUCCUAACUAUUACCACAAGCAUUGAAAUGGUUUUAAUCUACUAAAUACCAUCACCACUGCCACCAUUAGUCCAUUACCACAACUGUCACUCCAAAUACCAUGGUUAUCAUUCACUACUACCAUCAUCAUAUCCACCACUACCACAGUUCUCAACACCACUAUAGCUAUCAUCAACCGCCACCAUUACCAUUACUAUAUCAUCAACUACCACUAACAUUACAAUUAUCACCCCAACAACCACCAAAAUCAAUGCCACUGCCACCAUCACUAACCAAUAACCACUCAUUAUUCUUUAUGCAAUAUAAUUGAAUCUACAAAUCUUCAAUUUUAAAAUUUAACACUUGAUAAUUAACUUAUAUUUUAACUCCUAAUUUGAGGACUAAAAAUAUUCAUCUCUUAUAUUUUCAGCAAUGAAACAACACUCCUAAAGAACAUUUUUACACGGAGUCUGAUACAUCCAUACAGAAAAAGGAAACAUUGAUACACGGAAAUGCGAAAACAGACACAGGGAGAUGACAUUUCUCAAAAAUAUAGGAAUCUGAAGCUAGGGGAAAUGUCUAAAUAUUAAAAUUGUGGGGGUACAUUUAUGAAAAUUAUUUUUUGAAAAGUGCUUGACGAAUUGUCUAUAGCUUUUUGUGUAAAUAUACAGUUGCCAAGAGCGAAAUUAAUGCCCAAUGCUACAUUUCUCCUAACUUAAAGACUUUGGCACAGCAUGACGCAUACAAGUGAUUUCCCUGAUGCAGAGCAUGUUCAUGUGGAUGCUGUAUUUUUAUUUUUUAUUCUUCCUAUUCAGUUUUAAUGUUUCUUAGUCUAAUUAGGUUUUUUUAUUUUAUUUUAGUUUCCUAUUCCAU